CUUUAAUCCCACACGCCAAUUACUUAAAAAGCCUUUGCUUCCUUUCCAGCUAAGGCAUUUCAAAAACAAAAGCGGCCAUUAUUUAUUAACCCUUGAGUUACUCCUCUUGAUAUGUUGAGAAAAGAAGAGAAGCACCAUUAGUCCUUUGUUGAUGAAGUGGGAGAAAGUGGUGAGGUGGGUGGGGGCAAGCGUGGCUGCGGCCUUCUUCUCGUCUCUGGAGAAAUGGUCGUGUAUUAACAUAUCAACUCUAGACUCGGAUGUGGAUGAGGAGGCAGACGAUCGUCCCCUUAUGCUUACCAGAUUCCCCUCUGAAGCCUCCUCCCACCACCGCUUUUCCAUCGAUAAGCUUCAUUACCCUAUAACUAUUUCUAUGCCUCUGUGAUGCAUCUAUCUAAUUAUACAUGUCUGGAAAAGUGGCUUCUCUAAGAAUCCGACCAAUGAUAUGAUCUUGUAGAGAAAACUUAUCAUAUAUAUUACCGGCGAUUGAUUUUACAACUUUUCUUUUUGCCUAUCGGUUUAUGUGUGGAAAAAAGUUAGAAAACAAUAGUCUUCCAUCUUACAUGUGCAAUUUGGUUAAUUUGGCAAUGCUAGCCUUAGUUUGGAUUUUCUAUCUCCUUUCGUUAUUUGUUUUAACAAUCAUAUAAUAUGCCAUGAAAAAUAUUAGGACGAAUGUUGUGAUUUGAGAUCGGAUUCAGUUCUUUGAAUCAUCGAAAUUUAAUUGAAUAAAGUGGAACUAGUUUCUUUUUAUCCUUAAGCUUCACACUCAUGGAAAAUAAUUGUUUAUGGAGGACCCUCUUCUAUGAAAAAGCGAACCUCUCGUAGGCUCGUAGCACGUCUAAAAAGAUUUCUUAUCCAUAUUCAAUUUCUUUUAGAGAAAUAACCCAUAUUUAAUCUUUUUUGAGUUGGAACACAUUUAAUCUUAAAUCAAUAGUGCUAUAGUAGGAGUAUAAAAUUAUUGAGGAUAUGAUAUCUACUACUAACCGCUUUUAGUUAUGAUAUAGAUGUAUGAAGGCAUUUACCUUUUCCCUUAAAGAUGCUCUUAUCCAAAAUUAUAAGGAAGAUUUAUGCAAUAAUAAGUAAAACAUACCCGGAUAUCAUUCAAUACUAACAAACUUUUGAAACUUUUGAAAAUUGUUGCACUAAUAUAUAAUAUCAGCUGACUGAAUCUAAAUACUAGCCUACUGCCUACAUAGAUGACUAUACAUGUUUCAUACGUUGAGUCGUCCCGCGUCAAAUGUGAAAAUCAUCAACUGAAAUUCCCAUUAUAUUAUUACUUCUCAUACUACCAUCAUUCAGCAAAAUGUUAUCAAUUGUUGUAUUAAAGAAAUGAUUAAGUGGACUUGUGAAUGAGGUAAGUGUUUCAUAUUUGAGGCGUAAAAUUCUAAGUACAGAAAAACACAAGCAGUAGAUCGCCCUAAAUAUACUUAUAAAUGCAAGAGAACUAAAAUUAAAAUAGAUAAACUUUAUUGAUUUCCAAUCUAUGUGUUGUUUCUAAUUUCGAGUUAAAGGAGAUAUCAGAAAAUAAGCAAACACUGUGUUACUAAUUUACUAUUAAGGAUGCAUCACAAAAUAACACAAAUUAAUACGAAACAAUAGAAAUGAAUUAAUAUGCAUAAAAUCAAUCAAGAAAUUAAUGUGUCGAAAAUAUGGUUUGUUCCAACCCACUACAUGCGAGGAUUAUUCCAAAGAGUUAUCUACACAUAACUAAAAUAAAAACCCUAAACUCUAUAUAAAAUAAGGAAUUAUUUUUACAAAAAGCCCUCUCAAUUGCAAUUAUAAUUAGCAAAGCCAGAAUAAAAACUCAAUUUUCGAAGAAGAAAAAGUGGCUCAUGGAUUAGAGCAAAAACUGUCAAAAUUGGCUCAUAAACACGAGCGAAAAUUAUUUUAACAUAGCUCCUGGACAUGAGCAAAUUAGUUGCCUGACCUAGGUUCUUGAUGAGAAUUUAUGAAUGUUGUGUAGGGGCCUGGUUUAUGAACUGAUAUGUAGAUGGAUUAAUCAUGGGGCUUAUCUGUUGUAAUUAUUGUCAAGAAGGACCCCUCCCAACCAACUCAUUACUCUCACUCCCUGAGCACAUGUUAAUGCUCAGAACAUGCUAAAUGCAUCUAUUAUAAAUGGAAAGUUUGUACAACAACAAAUAUCAGAGUAAUAUCAGAGUAAAAACAGGCACUACUAUCAAAGUGAACAAUAGUUGUUUGGUUCAAAAUAAGGCAAGAUUUAAUAAACUCCAGAACAAGCCAUUGCAUUUUAAUGUUUAUGUUUAACAUAUGUCAAUCAGCUGUAUAUCAACUGCCUGAAGAAUUAUUCUCAAACCAUGGUUAUCAUCAAACAAUAAGUUUAAGAGGAAACUAAUUAAUAAUAUGUAAACAUAACAAACGGAAAUUCAAGAGGGCAAAAGAUUGAACCUAUUCCCAAAUUAAUUCUACAUGAUAUACAUUUGUACUGAAAAAUACCUUGGUGUAAGGAGAAUUAUUCUCUGUACAAUGCAUAGAAAAGGACGAUGAAAUUAAGAUAGUUUCCAUUCCAACCACCCCUUUAUUAGCAGGGUAAAAAGUGUGACAAUAAGAUAGAAUUGGUGAGAGUGAAGGAAAGCAUAAGUAGGGGGAGUUAGUGUGGUUGUGGUAUAGCAUUACGAGUGUUUUCAAUGAAAAACAUCCUGCUCAAAUGAGUGUUUCACAAUCACAAAUCAGAGAUGGAUUUGUGGAGUGUGAGACACUCAUUUGAGCGUGAUGUUUUGCAAGGAAGACAGAGCUUCUAGUAAUAAUAAUUGAGGAUUGGAUUUGGUGGUGUUAAGGUAACAGGAUCCAAAACUGGUGGAGAGAAUUAGAAACACAAUCAAGACUGCAGCAGCAAAGCAAUCACAACACAAAGACCAAGUGAAGGAGCAGACAUACAAUGUAGAUCUGGGCAAAUUAACUAUAGAGUCCUGCUGGCUGGAUUCCUCCUAAACUCCUAGCAAAGGAGCUUUGUUGCAAGAUCCCGGCAAAUUUCUCGAUCUAGGCAGACGUGUAUAUAAAAUCAUGUCUCCAAAUGGGACACUUUUUUA
This is a long non-coding RNA of Salvia hispanica, 3044 nucleotides long. RefSeq lists it as uncharacterized. The record is from RefSeq and is a predicted model, not a curated record. Lineage: Eukaryota; Viridiplantae; Streptophyta; Magnoliopsida; Lamiales; Lamiaceae.